Non-coding RNA from Podarcis lilfordi (Lilford's wall lizard), 69 nucleotides. Lineage: Eukaryota; Metazoa; Chordata; Lepidosauria; Squamata; Lacertidae. The record is from the annotation of a GenBank genome assembly.
GCUGUAUCUCAGUGGGAGAACAUCUACAUCACAAGCAAAAGGCGCCAGGUUCAAUCCCUGGCAUCUCCA